UAAAAUAACAAUACAUAUCCAGUAUCAUUGGCUGUCUCUGUUUCGCCAACACUUUGACGGUCUCUCUAAGCUGGUAGAUAGAUAUUGGACAACUUAAGUUCCGCUGUGGGGAUGACCUAUUUUCUAUAGCUUUACUGUGGUUCGAACAAGC
RNAcentral lists this small nucleolar RNA (151 nucleotides) under Torulaspora delbrueckii CBS 1146. RNAcentral's name for it is "Small nucleolar RNA snR161". It matches the Rfam family "Small nucleolar RNA snR161". Lineage: Eukaryota; Fungi; Ascomycota; Saccharomycetes; Saccharomycetales; Saccharomycetaceae. The record is from Rfam by way of RNAcentral.